This 264-nucleotide ribosomal RNA is filed under the name uncultured bacterium. Its description in RNAcentral is "partial 16S ribosomal RNA". It matches the Rfam family "Bacterial small subunit ribosomal RNA", at positions 94 to 354 of the family's 1533-position model. The record is from RNAcentral.
CCGGGCGCACGGGUGAGUAACGCGUAUGCGACCUGCCCGUUGCAGGGGGAUAAUCGGGAGAAAUCCCGUCUAAUACCGCGUAACGCCGCGGGGCUGCAUGGCCCUGCGGCCAAAGGGAGCGAUUCCGGCAACGGAUGGGCAUGCGUGACAUUAGCUAGUUGGCGGGGCAACGGCCCACCAAGGCGACGAUGUCUAGGGGUUCUGAGAGGAAGGUCCCCCACACUGGUACUGAGACACGGACCAGACUCCUACGGGAGGCAGCAG